GGAUUGUGGCUCGGUGGUAGAGCACUCACCUAGCAUGGGCGGGACCCAGGUUCGAUCCUCAGCACCA
RNAcentral lists this transfer RNA (67 nucleotides) under Marmota monax (woodchuck). RNAcentral describes it as "tRNA.Ala". Lineage: Eukaryota; Metazoa; Chordata; Mammalia; Rodentia; Sciuridae. The record is from RNAcentral.